This 253-nucleotide ribosomal RNA is filed under the name uncultured bacterium. RNAcentral's name for it is "partial 16S ribosomal RNA". It matches the Rfam family "Bacterial small subunit ribosomal RNA", at positions 524 to 776 of the family's 1533-position model. The record is from RNAcentral.
UACGUAGGGGGCUAGCGUUGUCCGGAUUUAUUGGGCGUAAAGGGUGCGUAGGCGGCGCGGUAAGUCGGGUGUGAAAUCUUGGAGCUUAACUCCGAAACUGCAUUCGAUACUGCCGUGCUUGAGGACUGGAGAGGAGACUGGAAUUUACGGUGUAGCGGUGAAAUGCGUAGAUAUCGUAAGGAAGACCAGUGGCGAAGGCGGGUCUCUGGACAGUUCCUGACGCUGAGGCACGAAGGUCAGGGGAGCAAACGGG